AGUCGUAACAAGGUUUCCGUAGGUGAACCUGCGGAAGGAUCAUUAUUGAAUAUUCUUGAUGGGUUGUAGCUGGCUCUUCGGGGCAUGUGCACGCCUGUCUUGAUUCUAUUCAUCCACCUGUGCACCUUUUGUAGUCUUGGGGUUGAGAAGCGGUCAAAUAUCGGACGGUUAUUGUGGCUGUUCCGGAUGUGAGGAUUGCUGAGUGCGAAAGCAUACAGCUUUUCUCAAUGUGACUUGUAAACUCUCCCUCGAGCACUAUGUUUUCAUAUACCACAUAGUAUGUUGUAGAAUGUGAUCAAUGGGCCUAUGUGCCUAUAAUAAUCAUAUACAACUUUCAGCAACGGAUCUCUUGGCUCUCGCAUCGAUGAAGAACGCAGCGAAAUGCGAUAAGUAAUGUGAAUUGCAGAAUUCAGUGAAUCAUCGAAUCUUUGAACGCACCUUGCGCUCCUUGGUAUUCCGAGGAGCAUGCCUGUUUGAGUGUCAUUAAAUUCUCAACCCCUCCAGCUUUUGUGAGUUGCGAUGGGGCUUGGAAGUUGGGAGUUUGCGGGCCUUUGUAAUAAAGGUCGGCUCUCCUUAAAUGUAUUAGCGGAACCGUUUGCAGUCCCGUCACUAGUGUGAUAAUUAUCUACACUGUGAUGAUUGCUCUCUGGCUUGUUCAGCUACUAAUCGUCCUUACCGGACAAUAUAUAAUGAACAUCUUGACCUCAAAUCAGGUAGGACUACCCGCUGAACUUA
Molecule: ribosomal RNA, 735 nt
Filed under: Calvatia pachydermica
Lineage: Eukaryota; Fungi; Basidiomycota; Agaricomycetes; Agaricales; Lycoperdaceae
Description: eukaryotic LSU rRNA
Rfam family: 5.8S ribosomal RNA (bases 330-483)
Source: RNAcentral